AUAAGAGCACCGCUUACCAUCCUC
RNAcentral lists this non-coding RNA (24 nucleotides) under Arabidopsis thaliana (thale cress). Lineage: Eukaryota; Viridiplantae; Streptophyta; Magnoliopsida; Brassicales; Brassicaceae. The record is from RNAcentral.